RNAcentral lists this ribosomal RNA (256 nucleotides) under Pseudomonas aeruginosa. RNAcentral's name for it is "partial 16S ribosomal RNA". The stretch from base 28 to 256 matches the Rfam family "Bacterial small subunit ribosomal RNA", at positions 548 to 776 of the family's 1533-position model. The record is from RNAcentral. Lineage: Bacteria; Pseudomonadati; Pseudomonadota; Gammaproteobacteria; Pseudomonadales; Pseudomonadaceae.
GGUACGGAGAGGUGCACGUGGAUAAUCGGAUUACUGGGCGUAAAGCGCGCGUAGGUGGUUCAGCAAGUUGGAUGUGAAAUCCCCGGGCUCAACCUGGGAACUGCAUCCAAAACUACUGAGCUAGAGUACGGUAGAGGGUGGUGGAAUUUCCUGUGUAGCGGUGAAAUGCGUAGAUAUAGGAAGGAACACCAGUGGCGAAGGCGACCACCUGGACUGAUACUGACACUGAGGUGCGAAAGCGUGGGGAGCAAACAGG